This 301-nucleotide ribosomal RNA is filed under the name uncultured bacterium. Its description in RNAcentral is "partial 16S ribosomal RNA". It matches the Rfam family "Bacterial small subunit ribosomal RNA", at positions 509 to 809 of the family's 1533-position model. The record is from RNAcentral.
CAGCCGCCGCGGUAAUACGGAGGGGGCUAGCGUUGUUCGGAAUUACUGGGCGUAAAGCGCACGUAGGCGGCUUGGUAAGUUAGAGGUGAAAGCCUGGAGCUCAACUCCAGAAUUGCCUUUAAGACUGCCGAGCUAGCAGGUGAGAGAGGUAAGUGGAAUUCCGAGUGUAGAGGUGAAAUUCGUAGAUAUUCGGAAGAACACCAGUGGCGAAGGCGGCUUACUGGCUCAUACUGGACGCUGAGGUGCGAAAGCGUGGGGAGCAAACAGGAUUAGAUACCCGCGUAGUCCCUGUCUCUUAUAA